UACGUAGGGCGCAAGCGUUGUCCGGAAUUAUUGGGCGUAAAGAGCUUGUAGGCGGUUUGUCGCGUCUGCUGUGAAAAUCCGGGGCUCGACCCCGGACUUGCAGUGGGUACGGGCAGACUGGAGUGUGGUAGGGGAGACUGGAAUUCCUGGUGUAGCGGUGAAAUGCGCAGAUAUCAGGAGGAACACCGGUGGCGAAGGCGGAUCUCUGGGCCAUUACUGACGCUGAGGAGCGAAAGCGUGGGGAGCGAACAGG
Molecule: ribosomal RNA, 253 nt
Filed under: uncultured bacterium
Lineage: Bacteria
Description: partial 16S ribosomal RNA
Rfam family: Bacterial small subunit ribosomal RNA
Source: RNAcentral